AGGCUUCUUCGUGACGGGAGAGAUUUUGUUCAUCAUAAGGCCUCUUGUGUAUGUACUAUUGAUGAGGAAAUAUGGAACGCAGUCGUGGUUUCCCUGGUGUGUGUCACUGGCUGUGGACCUCAUCGGAAAUAGCAUUCUCUCAGUUACAUUGAUGUCUCAACAUAGCGGGAAAAAUCAGCAACUUCAGUUUUCUGACUCUGAGAAGGACGAGUUAAAAAGACGAAGAAUGUUAUGGGCGUUGUACCUCAUGCGAGAUCCACUUUUUACCAAGUAUACCAGGCAAAGACUUGAAAGCACUCAAAGGCUAGUGCAACCCAUCCCCAUUCUUGGAUUUGUUGCAGAAAAAAUAAUUGAAAUUCUUAUUGGCGUCCAAACGCGUUACACGUACAUUUCUGGUUCAUAACAGGGGGAAGCUAUCAGGAGAAAUUUGAAGCGUCUAGAUCUAGACAUUUGCAGUCUCCUUCUUUAGUCGUUUUCAUGAUGAAUUUGGGGAGAAUUCACUAUAUAUCUAUGUUGUCUUGGCAGGCUUACGCAAAGUAUAGUCAUCUAUGUUCAAAAAUUGUCAAUGUUUCCUUUUAGUAUAGUCAUCUAGUUUCCAAGAAACCCUUUUUGCCAUAUCUACCAAGGGUUUCUCUGAUAUUGUCAAAGUAGAUUAAACCUUUAUCAUAAAUCAUUACUGAAAUGAAUGAUUCAAG
Molecule: unclassified non-coding RNA, 695 nt
Filed under: Hevea brasiliensis (rubber tree)
Lineage: Eukaryota; Viridiplantae; Streptophyta; Magnoliopsida; Malpighiales; Euphorbiaceae
Source: RNAcentral